This 118-nucleotide long non-coding RNA is filed under the name Monodelphis domestica (gray short-tailed opossum). RNAcentral's name for it is "lncRNA (ENSMODG00000038061.1)". The record is from RNAcentral. Lineage: Eukaryota; Metazoa; Chordata; Mammalia; Didelphimorphia; Didelphidae.
UAAAGGAUAUAAGUGCAGAACUCCCAAGAUUUACUUCCUUCCUGAUCUGUCCAGCCAGGAUACCUGAGUUGCUCAUCAGAUGAGUCUUGCUUACUGUGCUCCAGAAAGGUGACAACAU